This 497-nucleotide ribosomal RNA is filed under the name uncultured bacterium. RNAcentral's name for it is "partial 16S ribosomal RNA". It matches the Rfam family "Bacterial small subunit ribosomal RNA", at positions 28 to 507 of the family's 1533-position model. The record is from RNAcentral.
GACGAACGCUGGCGGCGUGCCUAAUACAUGCAAGUUGAGCGCUGAAGGUUGGUACUUGUACCGACUGGAUGAGCAGCGCACGGGUGAGUAACGCGUGGGGAAUCUGCCUUUGAGCGGGGGACAACAUUUGGAAACGAAUGCUAAUACCGCAUAAAAACUUUAAACACAAGUUUUAAGUUUGAAAGAUGCAAUUGCAUCACUCAAAGAUGAUCCCGCGUUGUAUUAGCUAGUUGGUGAGGUAAAGGCUCACCAAGGCGAGGAUACAUAGCCGACCUGAGAGGGUGAUCGGCCACAUUGGGACUGAGACACGGCCCAAACGCCUACGGGAGGCAGCAGGAGGGAAUCUUCGGCAAUGGACGAAAGUCUGACCGAGCAACGCCGCGGGAGUGAAGAAGGUUUUCGGAUCGUAAAACUCUGUUGGUAGAGAAGAACGUUGGUGAGAGUGGAAAGCUCAUCAAGUGACGGUAACUACCCAGAAAGGGACGGCUAACUACGUG